UACGUAGGGUGCAAGCGUUGUCCGGAAUUAUUGGGCGUAAAGAGCUCGUAGGCGGUUUGUCGCGUCUGCUGUGAAAACUCGGGGCUUAACUCCGGGCCUGCAGUGGGUACGGGCAGACUAGAGUGCGGUAGGGGAGACUGGAAUUCCUGGUGUAGCGGUGAAAUGCGCAGAUAUCAGGAGGAACACCGGUGGCGAAGGCGGCAUCCUGGACUGGUCCUGACACUCAGGAGCGAAAGCGUGGGGAGCGAUCCGG
RNAcentral lists this ribosomal RNA (253 nucleotides) under uncultured bacterium. RNAcentral's name for it is "partial 16S ribosomal RNA". It matches the Rfam family "Bacterial small subunit ribosomal RNA", at positions 524 to 776 of the family's 1533-position model. The record is from RNAcentral.